ACCUCCAACAUGAACCAGCAGUCAGCUGGGCCCAGGCUUCAGCAAAUAUCUGCAUUGACAGCUGCGCAGCAGCAACAAAGGCACCUAGCAAUACAGCGGUUACAACAAAGUGGUAGAGCUGUGACAGCAAAUGGACAAAUAGUUACCAGCAACGGUCAAAUACUGACUGCUGCUGGAGGACAGCUAGUGGCCGCUCGGCAGUUAGCUCCUCCUCCGUCACUUCCGCCCCCACCAUAUCCUGGACCUCCGCCUCCGUACCCGGGUGCAAUUCAACCUCAGCAACCGCAACUCCCGCAGCAGAUUCCAGGGGUGAGAACUGUAGCACCUCAAAACAUGAUGCAACCACCCCAAAGAAGGCCUCUGUUGCUACAGGUAAGAAGUACUCAGGUAAGGACAAGCUGUAGGCAACCAUUUUAUUUUUUCUUUACUUUUCUUUUAUCGCACAAAAAAUUACAAAAGUUCGCAUUUAUUCUAUCAUCAAGUGUACUUUGGCAUGUCAGGCA
This 503-nucleotide long non-coding RNA is filed under the name Bemisia tabaci. RNAcentral's name for it is "lncRNA ENSSSA2NGG002458". The record is from RNAcentral. Lineage: Eukaryota; Metazoa; Arthropoda; Insecta; Hemiptera; Aleyrodidae.